RNAcentral lists this ribosomal RNA (745 nucleotides) under uncultured bacterium. Its description in RNAcentral is "bacterial SSU rRNA". It matches the Rfam family "Bacterial small subunit ribosomal RNA", at positions 33 to 773 of the family's 1533-position model. The record is from RNAcentral.
ACGCUGGCGGCAUGCCUUACACAUGCAAGUCGAACGGCAGCACGGAGCUUGCUCUGGUGGCGAGUGGCGAACGGGUGAGUAAUAUAUCGGAACGUACCCUGGAGUGGGGGAUAACGUAGCGAAAGUUACGCUAAUACCGCAUACGAUCUACGGAUGAAAGUGGGGGAUCGCAAGACCUCAUGCUCGUGGAGCGGCCGAUAUCUGAUUAGCUAGUUGGUAGGGUAAAAGCCUACCAAGGCAUCGAUCAGUAGCUGGUCUGAGAGGACGACCAGCCACACUGGAACUGAGACACGGUCCAGACUCCUACGGGAGGCAGCAGUGGGGAAUUUUGGACAAUGGGCGAAAGCCUGAUCCAGCAAUGCCGCGUGAGUGAAGGAGGCCUUCGGGUUGUAAAGCUCUUUUGUCAGGGAAGAAACGGUGAGGGCUAAUAUCCCUUGCUAAUGACGGUACCUGAAGAAUAAGCACCGGCUAACUACGUGCCAGCAGCCGCGGUAAUACGUAGGGUGCAAGCGUUAAUCGGAAUUACUGGGCGUAAAGCGUGCGCAGGCGGUUUUGUAAGUCUGAUGUGAAAUCCCCGGGCUCAACCUGGGAAUUGCAUUGGAGACUGCAAGGCUAGAAUCUGGCAGAGGGGGGUAGAAUUCCACGUGUAGCAGUGAAAUGCGUAGAUAUGUGGAGGAACACCGAUGGCGAAGGCAGCCCCCUGGGUCAAGAUUGACGCUCAUGCACGAAAGCGUGGGGAGCAAAC